AGGAAGUAAGAUCCCUGAAAGAUGAUCAGGUUGAUAGGUCUGAGGUGGAAGUGUGGCGACACAUGGAGCUGACAGAUACUAAUCGAUCGAGGACUUAACCAA
RNAcentral lists this ribosomal RNA (102 nucleotides) under Bacillus velezensis. RNAcentral's name for it is "partial 23S ribosomal RNA". It matches the Rfam family "Bacterial large subunit ribosomal RNA", at positions 2823 to 2925 of the family's 2925-position model. The record is from RNAcentral. RNAcentral also lists the same sequence under 2 other names. Lineage: Bacteria; Bacillati; Bacillota; Bacilli; Caryophanales; Bacillaceae.